UCCUCCCUCUGGCGGCGUGCUUAACACAUGCCAGUCGAACGGAAAGGCCCUGCUUUUGUGGGGUGCUCGAGUGGCGAACGGGUGAGUAACACGUGAGUAACCUGCCCUUGACUUUGGGAUAACUUCAGGAAACUGGGGCUAAUACCGGAUAGGAGCUCCUGCUGCAUGGUGGGGGUUGGAAAGUUUCGGCGGUUGGGGAUGGACUCGCGGCUUAUCAGCUUGUUGGUGGGGUAGUGGCUUACCAAGGCUUUGACGGGUAGCCGGCCUGAGAGGGUGACCGGCCACAUUGGGACUGAGAUACGGCCCAGACUCCUACGGGAGGCAGCAGUGGGGAAUAUUGCACAAUGGGCGGAAGCCUGAUGCAGCAACGCCGCGUGCGGGAUGACGGCCUUCGGGUUGUAAACCGCUUUCGCCUGUGACGAAGCGUGAGUGACGGUAAUGGGUAAAGAAGCACCGGCUAACUACGUG
RNAcentral lists this ribosomal RNA (468 nucleotides) under uncultured bacterium. Its description in RNAcentral is "partial 16S ribosomal RNA". It matches the Rfam family "Bacterial small subunit ribosomal RNA", at positions 36 to 507 of the family's 1533-position model. The record is from RNAcentral.